AGUUUCAGAAACUUCCCGAAGCUAUUUUGAGUCAUUAACCAUCCUGCUUAAAGGAGAUUUCUGCAGGAUGGACUGUUUCUAACCCUGAGGGCAAUGUUAUACAACAGAAUGUCUGUGUACAUGCAUGUAGACACCAGAGGUCAACCAAGAAUGCCAUUCCUCAGGCACCAUCCACUUUGUUUUUACAGACAGUCUCUUAGUGCUCAAAGCUUCACAUAUUACAGUAGAUUCACAGGGCAGCAAGCCUCAGGGAUCAACUCCCUCCAUGUCCUAGGUCCUAAGAUUACAAGUCAGUGCCACUGUGCCAAGCUUUUUUAUUUUUAACAUGAGUUCUUUGGAUCAAAUUCAAUCCCUAAUGCUUGCACCAUUGUAAGCCCCUCGAAGUACUGGCCAGGUCCCGCCUCCUGACUGCUCUAAAGGCCUUAAUGGCUGUUUCCAGCCCCUCCAAAGGCAAACAGCCAAGUUCUGCCCUCCAGAGGGGAGGCGGGUGGAACAAGACAAGGCAAGAGAAUCCUACCAAACACUUAGAUCAAAAUUCUACCAAUCCCUGGGCUUGCCCCAAGAUCAGGACACCCUAGAAAGCUCUCACCCCUCUCACAAGAAACUGUAAGAGCCAAGGCAGCCACCCUCUUGUGCCUUUCCCAAUAAAUCUCUUGGGUGAGGUUUGUGGUAUGGAAGGACUUUGGUGUAUAUGGUAGCUCUUGACUACCAGGAUACCUUUCUCUUCAGAGCUGCAGCACUUAUGCGCACAGUACAUAUUUUACCUUCUGUGCUCCAAAAUUGAAUCUUGUAUAAAGAAUAUUUCAGAAUUAUAAAAAUUUGCCCAAGAAGUCUAUCAAAAAGAACACCUGAAAAUAAGAACUGUCUCUGUACAACUCGCAUGACUACCAUCAAAACCAAGAAAUGGUUACUUACAAAUUGUCAGCAUUUACCAGCAGACCUCAUUAUGUUUUUACCAGUUGUCCCAAUGAUGACUCUUUCAAGAAAAUGACCUAGUUUAGAACUUAGUGCUACGAUAACUGGUCAUAUCUCUUCUUCUCUCUUGGUCUGGGAGAGUGACCCAGUCUUUUCUAAGCUAUAUGACCUUUAAAAAAUUGUAUUUAUUAAUUUUGUAGAUAUGUGAUUUGAGUCAUGUUUGUUGAGGAAUUAAAAUAAGCCAUAUCUAUAUGCAGAAUAUUUAACACCUUUUUAAAGGCAAAGCACCUAAGUUUCUUCUCCCUAUCUUUCUAGUAUGUACGGUACACAGUCAAAAUGGAUAGCCAAGCACCCUAUGUCAACAGCACACAGGAACUUCUCAGAUAUGAAUCUUUAAGACAGAACCUGAUGACCCACCUCUUUCCCAUCCCUCUCCUUCACCUCCACUCUCCAGCCUCUGGGAGCCAAUAGUCUAUUCUCAACAUCCGUGACAACAGCACUUAGAAUCCACAUAUGAGUGAGCUCAUUUGAUAGUGGCCUUUCAGAGCCUGACUUACUUCACUCGUCUGAAUGAUCUCCAGCUCCAUUUAUGUUGUCCCGAUGACUGACAGUAUGCUGUUUUUUGUAACUGAAGCCUUUGUAUUGUAUAUACAUACUAUAUUAUUUAUCUACCUGUCUAUUGAGUUGAUGAACACUUAAGCUGCUGCCUUUUCUUGUCUGUCAUGCACAGUGCUCAAAUGAACACAGGAGUGCAUAUGACUCUUCAACAUACUGGGUUUGUUCUCUUUGUGUGUAUCCAGGAUUGGAGUUGCUGGAUCCUAUGCCAGCAGCUGUUUGUUUGUGUUUGUCUGUUUUUUUAGGUUUUGCUUGGUUUUUUUUUUCAUUGUUGAUGUUGUUUUGUUUUGUUUUUAAGAAAACCCAAUAGUCCUUUCUAUAAUGGCUAUAAAAUUCAAGGGUGCAAUUUCAUACAUCCUUGCCCAUAGUUUUUGAUAAUAGUUAUUCUUACAUGGUGAUUUAAAUGUGUAUUUUCUAGUGUUGUUUAAUAUUUUUCACAUACCUCUUGGCUAUUUAACCUACUCUUUUAAGAAAUGUUUUCUUGGAUCUAUUGGUUAGUUUUUACCUUUAUUUUUGAGAUUAUAAUUAUAUCAUUUUUACUCUCUUUUAAAAGUUUUAUAUUUCUUAUGUGGUCUGGAUAUUAAACCUUUCAGAAAUGUAGUCAGGAAACUUUCCUGCACAUUCUAUAGGGUUUUUCUCUUUACUUUGAUGAAAUUUUCUUAGGCAAGUGAAAGCAUUUUAAGCCCAUUUGUCUAGAUUUGCUUUAGUAGAGUAUUUUUUGCACAGAGCCCCUGCCUGUCGCCGUGCCCACCAGUGUUUUCCUGGGUAGUUUUAUUGUGGUUACUUAGAUCCCAGGGAUGCAGAAGUAAGCCUGCACCCUUGGUGCUGUGUCUGUGAAGAGCCUGUGGUUCUGACUCACCUGCCUACUGUACACUUAGGACUCUCAACUUUAGGUUCUAUCUUCCAGGCUUUCCCUGGUAAAUUGAUGACUAUUCUUUAAAAACUAGGUCUUUUAUUAAAAAAAUUAAAAAGUCCUUCAAAGGCAUCAAAAUAUUUCAUUCUUUCUCAAACUCUGAUUACUCACUUAAAAAAAUUUUACAUGGCAUCAUUGCUUCUUAAUUUACGCCAUAGAUUCUAGCCUGUUUGAUAGUUCAGACUGGUACUGAAAACACAGAGGAGCCCAUUACAGCCAGUCUCUAUAUCCCUUUGCCAUAAGUCCAUCAUUCUUUGAGCAUUUUUGUUGUCUUGCUUUUAGUCCAUCUUGCACUUUUUUGUUCUGAUCUUGGAAUUAACUAUCUCACUGAGGAGUACACCACCCCUGAAGAUGUUCUUUCUCUGAUUGUAGCUCUACUCCACAUUCUAGAGCAUAAGUACACACACACAGACACACACACACACGGACACAUGGAUACAGACACUGACACCUGGGUCCUGUCUCCCUUGCUGAAAUGCCAUUAUCUUGUAUGACACCUCAUACAGAGAUGCACACCUUUUUCUGCUUGGACUCCUCAUCCAUAUUGGGUAUCAGAGCUCCAUUCUAGACUACCAUGGAUAGCCAUCACUUCCCUCCUCUAGGAAUAGUCCUAUUUUCUCGUUUACUUGAGGAACAAAUUGUUAAAAAAAAAAAAAGGAAGAAUAUGGUGUCUAAACAUACAGC
RNAcentral lists this long non-coding RNA (3127 nucleotides) under Mus musculus (house mouse). Its description in RNAcentral is "long non-coding RNA chr8:76916226-76919353". Lineage: Eukaryota; Metazoa; Chordata; Mammalia; Rodentia; Muridae. The record is from RNAcentral.